Molecule: ribosomal RNA, 700 nt
Filed under: uncultured bacterium
Lineage: Bacteria
Description: bacterial SSU rRNA
Rfam family: Bacterial small subunit ribosomal RNA
Source: RNAcentral
AGAGUUUGAUCAUGGCUCAGAUUGAACGCUGGCGGCAGGCUUAACACAUGCAAGUCGAGCGGUAACAGAGAGUAGCUUGCUACUUUGCUGACGAGCGGCGGACGGGUGAGUAAUGCUUGGGAAUAUGCCAUUGAGUGGGGGACAACAGUUGGAAACGACUGCUAAUACCGCAUAACGUCUACGGACCAAAGGGGGGGAUUCUUCGGAACCUCCCGCUCAUUGAUUAGCCCAAGUGAGAUUAGCUAGUUGGUAAGGUAAAGGCUUACCAAGGCGACGAUCUCUAGCUGGUUUGAGAGGAUGAUCAGCCACACUGGGACUGAGACACGGCCCAGACUCCUACGGGAGGCAGCAGUGGGGAAUAUUGCACAAUGGGCGAAAGCCUGAUGCAGCCAUGCCGCGUGUGUGAAGAAGGCCUUCGGGUUGUAAAGCACUUUCAGUUGUGGGGAAAGGGUUGUAGUUAAUAGCUGCAAUCUGUGACGUUAACAACAGAAGAAGCACCGGCUAACUUCGUGCCAGCAGCCGCGGUAAUACGAGGGGUGCAAGCGUUAAUCGGAAUUACUGGGCGUAAAGCGUUCGUAGGCGGUCUAUUAAGCAAGAUGUGAAAGCCCAGGGCUCAACCUUGGAACUGCAUUUUGAACUGGUAGACUAGAGUACUGUAGAGGGUGGUGGAAUUUCCAGUGUAGCGGUGAAAUGCGUAGAG